Salvia hispanica is the source of this 722-nucleotide non-coding RNA. Lineage: Eukaryota; Viridiplantae; Streptophyta; Magnoliopsida; Lamiales; Lamiaceae. The record is from RefSeq and is a predicted model, not a curated record.
UCUUCUAACUUAGCUAUUUUACUUAGUCCUUGAAAGUUUAUUACUUGAUGCUAGGUGAUUGCUAAAGAAAGCCUUCCACUAGUUUUUCUAAAUUCUUGAGAGCUCACUGGAAUUAUCAUCUUCAAGGCAUUUGUCAUUUGCUUAAGUAAUUGAGGCUAACUAUGUUUGUUGCUCUAAAAUCCUUGCUACUGAUCUUUCCAAAUUUUGAGCAUCUAUGGUUCUAAGUUCUCAUCUAAAGCUUGCUAUGUUGCAAUCUAUAUGAAUGCUAUUUACGUAAAGGAUGUUGGGGAGAAUUACCUUGCUUUGGUGAGUCCUUAAUUGUUGGGCAGCUCAAGAGCUUCCUCCCUCUCCUCUCAUUCCUUGCUACUCUUUGCCGAGAAGUUUCUAAGUGGUAAAAAGGUGAAGCAAGAGGUGUGGUUAAGAGACAACUCAUGCUAUCUCUAGGAGACUACUAAUUGACUCCUUGGCAUGGAGUGGGGAUCAAGAAUCGAGAUGUGUGUAGAGAGGAUCCUCAAAGAUUUGUGGAGUUAAUGGCACUUGUUUCUUUACUCCCUUUAGCUCUCUUAGGAAAAUUUCUUUUGUAAAGUAGAUAUAUCUUCUCUACUUGUUCCAACACCAAAAUCCAUGUAAUCCUUUUCAUGAAAGGUAGUUCUCCUAUAUUGUAAGGUAUACCUCCAACCUUUCUUCUUUUGAAUAAAUUCCAAUAAACACUUGUACACCUA